GACGAACGCUGGCGGCGUGCUUAACACAUGCAAGUCGAACGGAAAGGCCCUGCUUUUGUGGGGUGCUCGAGUGGCGAACGGGUGAGUAACACGUGAGUAACCUGCCCUUGACUUUGGGAUAACUUCAGGAAACUGGGGCUAAUACCGGAUAGGAGCUCCUGCUGCAUGGUGGGGGUUGGAAAGUUUCGGCGGUUGGGGAUGGACUCGCGGCUUAUCAGCUUGUUGGUGGGGUAGUGGCUUACCAAGGCUUUGACGGGUAGCCGGCCUGGGAGGGUUAACGGCCACAUUGGGACUGAGAUACGGCCCAGACUCCUACGGGAGGCAGCAGUGGGGAGUAUUGCACAAUGGGCGGAAGCCUGAUGCAGCAACGCCGCGUGCGGGAUGACGGCCUUCGGGUUGUAAACCGCUUUCGCCUGUGACGAAGCGUGAGUGACGGUAAUGGGUAAAGAAGCACCGGCUAACUACGUG
RNAcentral lists this ribosomal RNA (468 nucleotides) under uncultured bacterium. Its description in RNAcentral is "partial 16S ribosomal RNA". It matches the Rfam family "Bacterial small subunit ribosomal RNA", at positions 28 to 507 of the family's 1533-position model. The record is from RNAcentral.